This 582-nucleotide unclassified non-coding RNA is filed under the name Hevea brasiliensis (rubber tree). The record is from RNAcentral. Lineage: Eukaryota; Viridiplantae; Streptophyta; Magnoliopsida; Malpighiales; Euphorbiaceae.
UUUGAUUUAAGGGAUGACUAUUAUACUCGUUCUUGUAUAAAGUUAAACUUACAAUAGCCACACUUUAAAUUUUAUUAGUACAAUUUAAUUUUAAUUAGAUCAAAUCAACAUUUUAAGUGACUGCAAAAAGGCUAAACGAAUUUAAGAAACUUUAGCUACGGACAUCCCUGGACAUCAAACAAGACUUAUUUUAACUGAAGUCCACCAAAUGGAAAGAAAGGACUCUAAACUCUCUUAAGAUGCAAGCCUUUCAUACAGACUAGUGCUUGUCCUCCUUGGGGGUAUCUUUUUUCUGAACCUUUGAUUCCAGUUCCUUGGGUGUUGCAUUCUCUGACGCCUUGGAGGCAGCGGCGGAUUCUUCUUCGAGCCAUUGACGGAUGUGCUUGACGUUGCGCCUAAAAAUGGUAGCCGAUUGCUUCACAUCGCUCCUUAAUAGAAGAAUGACGGCGCUGACACCGGCCACCGUGAUGAUGAAAUUGGUCAAACCCAUCUCAGUUUUCAAAACCCUAAGUUCUUUGUAAACAUUGAAUAGAAGAGAUAGAGAUUAGGAAGACUGCUACGUGCAAAUUGCAAAAAUAUGAU